GAUGAACGCUGGCGGCGUGCCUAAUACAUGCAAGUCGAGCGAACAGACGAGGAGCUUGCUCCUCUGACGUUAGCGGCGGACGGGUGAGUAACACGUGGAUAACCUACCUAUAAGACUGGGAUAACUUCGGGAAACCGGAGCUAAUACCGGAUAAUAUAUUGAACCGCAUGGUUCAAUAGUGAAAGACGGUUUUGCUGUCGCUUAUAGAUGGAUCCGCGCCGCAUUAGCUAGUUGGUAAGGUAACGGCUUACCAAGGCAACGAUGCGUAGCCGACCUGAGAGGGUGAUCGGCCACACUGGAACUGAGACACGGUCCAGACUCCUACGGGAGGCAGCAGUAGGGAAUCUUCCGCAAUGGGCGAAAGCUUGACGGAGCAACGCCGCGUGAGUGAUGAAGGUCUUCGGAUCGUAAAACUCUGUUAUUAGGGAAGAACAAAUGUGUAAGUAACUAUGCACGUCUUGACGGUACCUAAUCAGAAAGCCACGGCUAACUACGUG
This 497-nucleotide ribosomal RNA is filed under the name uncultured bacterium. RNAcentral's name for it is "partial 16S ribosomal RNA". It matches the Rfam family "Bacterial small subunit ribosomal RNA", at positions 28 to 507 of the family's 1533-position model. The record is from RNAcentral.